This 164-nucleotide non-coding RNA is filed under the name Punica granatum (pomegranate). RNAcentral's name for it is "Bacterial large subunit ribosomal RNA". It matches the Rfam family "Bacterial large subunit ribosomal RNA", at positions 2473 to 2632 of the family's 2925-position model. Lineage: Eukaryota; Viridiplantae; Streptophyta; Magnoliopsida; Myrtales; Lythraceae. The record is from Rfam by way of RNAcentral.
GAUAACAUGUUGAUCUUCCCCAAGAGUUCACAUCGAUGGAAAGGUUUGGCACCUCGAUGUCAGCUCUUCGCCACCUAGGGUUGUAGAGUAUAUGUUCCAAGGAUUGGGCUGUUCACCUAUUAAAGCAGCACGUGAGCUCGAUUCAUAACAUUGUGAGACAAUUC